CGCACGGGUGCGUAACGCGUUAUGCAACCUACCUUAUUCAGGGGGAUAGCCCGAAGAAAUUCGGAUUAACACCGCAUAAAAUCACAGCUCAGCAUUGAGUAAUGAUCAAAUAUUUAUAGGAAUAAGAUGGGCAUGCGUGUCAUUAGCUAGUUGGCGGGGUAACGGCCCACCAAGGCGACGAUGACUAGGGGAUCUGAGAGGAUGACCCCCCACACUGGUACUGAGACACGGACCAGACUCCUACGGGAGGCAGCAGUAAGGAAUAUUGGUCAAUGGAGGCAACUCUGAACCAGCCAUGCCGCGUGCAGGAAGACAGCCCUCUGGGUCGUAAACUGCUUUUAUUCGGGAAUAAACCUUUCUACGUGUAGGAAGCUGAAUGUACCGAAGGAAUAAGGAUCGGCUAACUCCGUGCCAGCAGCCGCGGUAAUACGGAGGAUCCAAGCGUUAUCCGGAUUUAUUGGGUUUAAAGGGUGCGUAGGCGGCUUAUUAAGUCAGGGGUGAAAGACGGUGGCUCAACCAUCGCAGUGCCUUUGAUACUGAUGAGCUUGAAUGAACUAGAGGUAGGCGGAAUGUGACAAGUAGCGGUGAAAUGCAUAGAUAUGUCACAGAACACCGAUUGCGAAGGCAGCUUACUAUGGUUUUAUUGACGCUGAGGCACGAAAGCGUGGGGAUCAAACAGGAUUAGAUACCCUGGUAGUCCA
This 701-nucleotide ribosomal RNA is filed under the name Pedobacter sp. T0-YC6740. RNAcentral describes it as "bacterial SSU rRNA". It matches the Rfam family "Bacterial small subunit ribosomal RNA", at positions 99 to 797 of the family's 1533-position model. Lineage: Bacteria; Pseudomonadati; Bacteroidota; Sphingobacteriia; Sphingobacteriales; Sphingobacteriaceae. The record is from RNAcentral.